UACGGAGGGGGCUAGCGUUGUUCGGAAUUACUGGGCGUAAAGCGCACGUAGGCGGCUUUGUAAGUUAGAGGUGAAAGCCCGGAGCUCAACUCCGGAACUGCCUUUAAGACUGCAUCGCUUGAACGUCGGAGAGGUAAGUGGAAUUCCGAGUGUAGAGGUGAAAUUCGUAGAUAUUCGGAAGAACACCAGUGGCGAAGGCGACUUACUGGACGACUGUUGACGCUGAGGUGCGAAAACGUGGGGAGCAAACAGG
This 253-nucleotide ribosomal RNA is filed under the name uncultured bacterium. RNAcentral describes it as "partial 16S ribosomal RNA". It matches the Rfam family "Bacterial small subunit ribosomal RNA", at positions 524 to 776 of the family's 1533-position model. The record is from RNAcentral.